RNAcentral lists this long non-coding RNA (316 nucleotides) under Homo sapiens (human). RNAcentral describes it as "LHRI_LNC1752.1". Lineage: Eukaryota; Metazoa; Chordata; Mammalia; Primates; Hominidae. The record is from RNAcentral.
CUCGAGCUUUCAGUUGUAGAGAGAAAGCAACACUUACUGAGAAACUAAAAGAUGAUGUGUGUUGUAAAAUGAGAGUGCAGGGUGACAUUGCAAUUGAGCAAGCUAUCUUGAGGUAGAGAGAGAAGGUAGUCAAAGAUUUUGUUGUUGACAGUUUAGUUAGAACUAAAAUUGAUAGCGCCAUUGUACUCCAGUCUGUCACAGACUGAGAUAUUAUCUCUUAAAAAAAAAAUGGCUGGGCUUACUUUGGGAGGCCGAGGCAGGUGGAUCACUUGAGCCCAGGAGUUCAAGAUCAGCCUGACCAGCACAGUGAAACUCC